Molecule: ribosomal RNA, 501 nt
Filed under: uncultured bacterium
Lineage: Bacteria
Description: partial 16S ribosomal RNA
Rfam family: Bacterial small subunit ribosomal RNA
Source: RNAcentral
AUUGAACGCUGGCGGCAUGCCUUACACAUGCAAGUCGAACGGCAGCACGGGUGCUUGCACCUGGUGGCGAGUGGCGAACGGGUGAGUAAUACAUCGGAACGUACCUUAUCGUGGGGGAUAACGCAGCGAAAGUUGCGCUAAUACCGCAUACGCCCUGAGGGGGAAAGCGGGGGACCGUAAGGCCUCGCGCGAUUAGAGCGGCCGAUGUCUGAUUAGCUUGUUGGUGAGGUAAAAGCUCACCAAGGCGAUGAUCAGUAGCUGGUCUGAGAGGACGAUCAGCCACACUGGGACUGAGACACGGCCCAGACUCCUACGGGAGGCAGCAGUGGGGAAUUUUGGACAAUGGAGGCAACCCUGAUCCAGCAAUGCCGCGUGAGUGAAGAAGGCCUUCGGGUUGUAAAGCUCUUUUGUCAGGGAAGAAACAGCAGCUCUAACACAGUCUGCGAAUGACGGUACCUGAAGAAUAAGCACCGGCUAACUACGUGCCAGCCGCCGCGGUAA